RNAcentral lists this long non-coding RNA (1537 nucleotides) under Hordeum vulgare. Its description in RNAcentral is "long non-coding RNA (HVUL_LNC001934)". Lineage: Eukaryota; Viridiplantae; Streptophyta; Magnoliopsida; Poales; Poaceae. The record is from RNAcentral.
GUUCCGCACCGUCCCUGCUCCUUCUCUUUCUCGUUCCCCAUCCCCAUCGCUAUCAAAUCCGGCGCACCGCCGGCUCCCUCCUCCCCCAUGGCCAUGCACCGCUGGGUCGCGAUUGUUUUUCGCCCAAGCCCUGCUGCCUCUGUCCCCAGACCCGCCAUCGAGGUAAGAUCAGCGGCAAAGCCCAGACACACACCUCCCGCAAGCACCCCGGUGGUCAAGAGCUGCACCUCAUCUUCCCCGUCUUCCUCAAAGGUAGCAGCAAUUUGUUUCCUUGUUUUUUCUUGACCAAGAUUUGCAUCUGCUUUCGUGUGUGAUAGUGGCUUUUAUGUGAUGGAUUUUUCAUCCAGCACACUUCGGAAGAUGGAUGAAGAUGGAUUGAUCUUAUUUUGUUUCCUCUCCUGCAGUUUUUAGCCAAUGAUUGCUCUUGUUUAGCCCCUCUCCAUCAACAAGAAAACAGGGAAGAUCUUGAUGUACUUUUGUAAUUCAUAGCUGAAAUUUGCUGUAACAAGGACCUUUCUGAUGGCUAUCUCUGAAUUCUCUGCCUACUGUUAUUAUUAUGGCCUCAGUUUUAUACAUGAAACAAAAUAAUUGGGUGAAGAACUAUUUGGGAUAUUUUCUGAAGAACAAUCUAACAAUACAAGAAUAUUUGCUGAAGAAUUUUUUCAAAAAUUCCAAAGGACUUUAUAGAAACUACGAAGAACAUUGUAAGUAACGAAGAAACAUUCUAACAGGACUUUGCUAACAUGCUGUCCGAACUUUGCCAUAAAAAUUAAAAGAACUUUUGAAAACAUAUUGCCAUGACUAAUUAUUUCUUUCGAUUUUGUAAAGUUCUUUGGAAUUUCGAGUAGAGUUCGCCAAAACUACUUUGAUACAAUCCAUUAAUUAAUUUCAUUAGUUACUUCUGAGAAUAAUUUCGGUGACAAACCAAAAUUAGUUAAUACAUGUUUAAUCAUUGAUUAACCAUGUACUUAAAUGGUGCAUUAUCCCACUGAGGCACUUAUGUCUCUCGCGUGGAUGAAGAGAUUGGUCCAACGUAGGGUGAAAUCAGUUGGAAUACGGCUGACUAUAUACACAGGUGAAAUCCGUGACAUGAUGAAAUACCAUGCAUGGCUGACACAGGUACGGGCCAUGUUGAUUUGACAACAAGCAGGAUCAGUGGUGUGGAUACGCGUUGUGCGCACAACUAGUUAGACAAAAUCCAGGUCCGUCCAUAUGUCCCUUGAGACGAGCACCACUGGAGAAAUCCUAGCAUCUUCGCACGGAGACUGCGUUGGUCCACCGCGAGUGAGGAAGUCAGCGUAAGUGUCAUCUCGGCCCUAAGAAGGAACAAGAAACUUUGACAGAGGAAGUUUAUCACCCAGUUGAAUAACCCUUGCUGGACCGGCUCAUGUACACGAUCUCAACUCGAACUCAUUUUCCCAUUGCAUCCCAUGCCUAACACUGAUUUCGUCGUCAUAGACAAGCUAGCACCACUUCUCUCUACCCACCUGGUAGCAGCAAGCAAGCUUACAUUUCCACGCUGAAUUUUUGAGUGUUC